This 492-nucleotide ribosomal RNA is filed under the name uncultured bacterium. RNAcentral's name for it is "partial 16S ribosomal RNA". It matches the Rfam family "Bacterial small subunit ribosomal RNA", at positions 30 to 507 of the family's 1533-position model. The record is from RNAcentral.
AUUGAACGCUGGCGGCAUGCUUUACACAUGCAAGUCGAACGGUAACAGGCCUUCGGGUGCUGACGAGUGGCGAACGGGUGAGUAAUGCAUCGGAACGUGCCCAGAGGUGGGGGAUAACGCAGCUAAAGCUGUGCUAAUACCGCAUGUGAUCUGAGGAUGAAAGCGGGGGACCAGGCAGCAAUGUUUGGCCUCGCGCCUUUGGACCGGCCGAUGUCAGAUUAGGUAGUUGGUGGGGUAAAGGCCUACCAAGCCGACGAGCUGUAGCUGGUCUGAGAGGACGACCAGCCACACUGGGACUGAGACACGGCCCAGACUCCUGCGGGAGGCAGCAGUGGGGAAUUUUGGACAAUGGGCGCAAGCCUGAUCCAGCAAUGCCGCGUGCGGGAAGAAGGCCUUCGGGUUGUAAAACGCUUUUGUACGGAACGAAAAGGAUCUGGCUAAUACCUGGGGCUGAUGACGGUACCGUAAGAAUAAGCACCGGCUAACUACGUG